AUUAUUUACAGUCUAUGCUAGGAAUAUACAGGGCGCUUUCGAGGAUAAAUGUUGUCUAGUCCCUUUCAAAGGUUGUUGCAUUAUGGGGAUACAAAUUGUCCGACUGCGCCUGUAGUAUAUGGAGCUAUACACCUUUAAUGUUGUUGUGAUCAAGGUCAUUCGUUUUUUUUAUGAAGUCGCUUUCAAGUCACUGGUUAUGGCUAGAAGGGAUCCAGCUUUUGUAAAAUAACGUCAAAGGGUGUCAAAGGCUUGCUGACUACAUGGAAGGAGUGAAAGAAAACAUUGAGUCUACCACCCAGGUGCUCAAACACAAUUGUGAGAUGAAUAAACAUGGUGAAGGCUUCUACAAGCUCGGGGUUUACUAUGUCCAAGGGAGGGGAAAUUGCAGAUAAUCUGAAGAUGGUCUACUGCUUCAUGACGGCUUACAGCAGUGGUGGUAAGAAGUCUGUGGAUGCGUGUCAAAACGUGGGUCUCCUCACCGACGUUGGUUGAGCCAUGAAGUCCGGCCCUGACUCGGGGCAAAAGGUUGAAGGAUUCACUAAUGUGUGUGUUUUUGUCAUUUUAGGCGGGAAUUGAAAAAAAGGGUCCAAUCCUUUGUGUGUGGAUGAUUUAUAUGGGGCUCUGUAAAAUAUAACAUGUUUUUUCUCUAUAGGGGGCCAACUUAAUAUUUUUGCAUCCAAUGAGAUUGUUCCUCUCGACAUGGAGAAAGGACAGAUUCUCAGUCCAACACAUCUAUCUGCCUGAACAUUGACAACAACUUGACUUGAUUAAAAUGAGUUCACGCAAA
Long non-coding RNA from Oncorhynchus masou masou (cherry salmon), 787 nucleotides. RefSeq lists it as uncharacterized. The record is from RefSeq and is a predicted model, not a curated record. NCBI's taxonomy places the organism in Eukaryota, Metazoa, Chordata, Actinopteri, Salmoniformes, Salmonidae. The transcript is spliced from 3 exons.